GAUCAUUAUUGAAAUAAACCUGAUGGGUUGCUGCUGGUUUCUCUAAGGAACAUGUGCACGCUUGUCAUCUUUAUAUCUCCACCUGUGCACCUCUUGUAGACCUGGAUAUCUUUCUGAAUUAUUUAGGUUUGAGGAUUGACUUCCUGUCUCUCCUUACAUUUCCAGGCCUACGUUUUCUUCAUAUACCCCAAUGUAUGUUAUAGAAUGUAAUAAAUGGGCCUCUGUGCCUAUAAACCUAUACAACUUUCAGCAACGGAUCUCUUGGCUCUCGCAUCGAUGAAGAACGCAGCGAAAUGCGAUAAGUAAUGUGAAUUGCAGAAUUCAGUGAAUCAUCGAAUCUUUGAACGCACCUUGCGCUCCUUGGUAUUCCGAGGAGCAUGCCUGUUUGAGUGUCAUUAAUAUAAUCAACCUCUUCAAGUUUUGCUUGUCGAGUGUUGGAUGUGGGGGGGUUCUUUUUGCCGGGUCUCUUUUAAUUGAGGUCGGCUCCCCUGAAAUGCAUUAGCAGAACAAUUUGUUGACCGUCCAUUGGUGUGAUAAACUAUCUACGCUUUUGACGUGAGGCAGUUCAGCUUCUAACAAUCCAUUGACUUGGAUAAAUUUUCAUUAAUGUGACCUCAAAUCAGGUAGG
This 628-nucleotide ribosomal RNA is filed under the name uncultured Cortinarius. RNAcentral describes it as "eukaryotic LSU rRNA". The stretch from base 242 to 395 matches the Rfam family "5.8S ribosomal RNA". The record is from RNAcentral. Lineage: Eukaryota; Fungi; Basidiomycota; Agaricomycetes; Agaricales; Cortinariaceae.